CGCCCUCGCCGGCCGCUCCACCUCUUUCCGCUGAUUGGGCAGGUGUCGGGGUCUGUCACUCCCAGGGGCGCGAUAGGGGGCAGCGCACGCGGGCGGGCGGGGCGCCGGGGCCUCACUUCUCCCAUCCCCAGUCUAGCCCCGUCGGAGCCCGCAGAAGGAGGCUGGGGCGGCCCGGGGUGGAACGCCCUACAUCUCUCCUCUAGUUAUCAACUCCCUCCUCCAACCGCCAGCCUACGCCCCUCCCCGCUCCCCUUGUCCCCAGGGAAGCACACAGCCUUGGAGCCCCGGCUUUUCAGCUGCAUCAAUAACCAAAAUGCUGCAGGAAGGCGACUCCGGGGAGACGUAGCAGAAAACUGGAGGUGGAACGUUUCUUACGCAAACAAAUAGCACAACAGACUGCACCGAACAGUGCACAGGAGUUUCUCACCAACACAGCCGCGGCCUCCGCGGCGGCAUAAUCGCAGAGCGUCACACCGACUGUGUAAAAAUAAUCACAACCCACGCUCCACGCUCCCGAGUCCUGCACGUGUGUGGAGGGAGCGCUGCGAGGACUGCUGGGAGAGACUGCUCUUCCCCGAACGGACUUGGAGGACUGUGUCAUUCUGUGAGCCCCUGACUUUAUGUUUGGUUUUGUUUUUAAAUAAGAAAGUAAUCACAUAUUA
This is a long non-coding RNA of Phyllostomus discolor (pale spear-nosed bat), 662 nucleotides long. RefSeq lists it as uncharacterized. The record is from RefSeq and is a predicted model, not a curated record. NCBI's taxonomy places the organism in Eukaryota, Metazoa, Chordata, Mammalia, Chiroptera, Phyllostomidae. The transcript is spliced from 2 exons.